RNAcentral lists this non-coding RNA (25 nucleotides) under Rattus norvegicus (Norway rat). The record is from RNAcentral. Lineage: Eukaryota; Metazoa; Chordata; Mammalia; Rodentia; Muridae.
AGAAAGAAGAGGAAACCAAUCCUGC